UACCUCAAAAAACCACAACAGUCUGUUUCAUCCGUAUAGGAAUCAUCAGGUGGUCUACCUGAUGAUUCCUAUGGUGGACCACCUGAUGAUUCCUUUACGGUGAAACAGACUGUUGUGGUUUUU
This is a non-coding RNA of Paramuricea clavata, 123 nucleotides long. The record is from the annotation of a GenBank genome assembly. NCBI's taxonomy places the organism in Eukaryota, Metazoa, Cnidaria, Anthozoa, Malacalcyonacea, Plexauridae.